AGAGUUUGAUCCUGGCUCAGGACGAACGCUGGCGGCGUGCUUAACACAUGCAAGUCGAACGAUGAAGCCCAGCUUGCUGGGUGGAUUAGUGGCGAACGGGUGAGUAACACGUGAGUAACCUGCCCUUGACUCUGGGAUAAGCGCUGGAAACGGCGUCUAAUACCGGAUACGACCUACCCCGGCAUCGGGUGUGGGUGGAAAGUUUUUCGGUCAAGGAUGGACUCGCGGCCUAUCAGCUUGUUGGUGAGGUAAUGGCUCACCAAGGCGACGACGGGUAGCCGGCCUGAGAGGGUGACCGGCCACACUGGGACUGAGACACGGCCCAGACUCCUACGGGAGGCAGCAGUGGGGAAUAUUGCACAAUGGGCGAAAGCCUGAUGCAGCAACGCCGCGUGAGGGAUGACGGCCUUCGGGUUGUAAACCUCUUUUAGUAGGGAAGAAGGACUUCGGUUUGACGGUACCUGCAGAAAAAGCACCGGCUAACUACGUGCCAGCAGCCGCGGUAAUACGUAGGAUGCAAGCGUUGUCCGGAAUUAUUGGGCGUAAAGAGCUCGUAGGCGGUUUGUCGCGUCUGCUGUGAAAACCCGAGGCUCAACCUCGGGCCUGCAGUGGGUACGGGCAGACUAGAGUGCGGUAGGGGAGAAUGGAAUUCCUGGUGUAGCGGUGGAAUGCGCAGAUAUCAGGAGGAACACCGAUGGCGAAGGCAGUUCUCUGGGCCGUAACUGACGCUGAGGAGCGAAAGCGUGGGGAGCGAACAGGAUUAGAUACCCUGGUAGUCCACGCCGUAAACGUUGGGCGCUAGAUGUGGGGACCUUUCCACGGUUUCCGUGUCGCAGCUAACGCAUUAAGCGCCCCGCCUGGGGAGUACGGCCGCAAGGCUAAAACUCAAAGGAAUUGACGGGGGCCCGCACAAGCGGCGGAGCAUGCGGAUUAAUUCGAUGCAACGCGAAGAACCUUACCAAGGCUUGACAUAUACGAGAACGGGCCAGAAAUGGUCAACUCUUUGGACACUCGUAAACAGGUGGUGCAUGGUUGUCGUCAGCUCGUGUCGUGAGAUGUUGGGUUAAGUCCCGCAACGAGCGCAACCCUCGUUCUAUGUUGCCAGCACGUUAUGGUGGGAACUCAUAGGAGACUGCCGGGGUCAACUCGGAGGAAGGUGGGGAUGACGUCAAAUCAUCAUGCCCCUUAUGUCUUGGGCUUCACGCAUGCUACAAUGGCCGGUACAAAGGGCUGCGAUACCGUAAGGUGGAGCGAAUCCCAAAAAGCCGGUCUCAGUUCGGAUUGAGGUCUGCAACUCGACCUCAUGAAGUCGGAGUCGCUAGUAAUCGCAGAUCAGCAACGCUGCGGUGAAUACGUUCCCGGGCCUUGCACUCAC
RNAcentral lists this ribosomal RNA (1375 nucleotides) under uncultured bacterium. RNAcentral's name for it is "bacterial SSU rRNA". It matches the Rfam family "Bacterial small subunit ribosomal RNA". The record is from RNAcentral.